RNAcentral lists this ribosomal RNA (487 nucleotides) under uncultured bacterium. Its description in RNAcentral is "bacterial SSU rRNA". It matches the Rfam family "Bacterial small subunit ribosomal RNA", at positions 28 to 507 of the family's 1533-position model. The record is from RNAcentral.
GAUGAACGCUAGCGGCAGGCCUAACACAUGCAAGUCGAGGGGUAACAUAGAAAAGCUUGCUUUUCUGAUGACGACCGGCGCACGGGUGCGUAACGCGUAUACAACCUACCUUUUAGCGGGGAAUAGCCCAGGGAAACUUGGAUUAAUGCCCCAUAGUAUAUAGACUUCUCCUGAAGUUUAUAUUAAACAUUUAUGGCUAUUAGAUGGGUAUGCGUCCUAUUAGUUAGUUGGUAAGGUAACGGCUUACCAAGGCAGCGAUAGGUAGGGGUCCUGAGAGGGAGAUCCCCACACUGGUACUGAGACACGGACCAGACUCCUACGGGAGGCAGCAGUGAGGAAUAUUGGACAAUGGGCGAGAGCCUGAUCCAGCCAUGCCGCGUGCAGGAAGACUGCCCUAUGGGUUGUAAACUACUUUUACAGAGGAAGAACCACCCCCACGUGUGGGGGUUUGACGGUACUCUGCGAAUAAGGAUCGGCUAACUCCGUG